UGGGGAAUUUUGGACAAUGGGCGCAAGCCUGAUCCAGCCAUGCCGCGUGCAGGAUGAAGGCCCUCGGGUUGUAAACUGCUUUUGUACGGAACGAAAAGCCUCUUUCUAAUAAAGAGGGGUGAUGACGGUACCGUAAGAAUAAGCACCGGCUAACUACGUGCCAGCAGCCGCGGUAAUACGUAGGGUGCGAGCGUUAAUCGGAAUUACUGGGCGUAAAGCGUGCGCAGGCGGUCUUGCAAGACAGUGGUGAAAUCCCCGGGCUCAACCUGGGAACUGCCACUGUGACUGCAAGGCUGGAGUACGGCAGAGGGGGAUGGAAUUCCGCGUGUAGCAGUGAAAUGCGUAGAUAUGCGGAGGAACACCGAUGGCGAAGGCGGUCCCCAGGGCCUGUACUGACGCUCAUGCACGAAAGCGUGGGGAGCAAACA
RNAcentral lists this ribosomal RNA (427 nucleotides) under uncultured bacterium. Its description in RNAcentral is "bacterial SSU rRNA". It matches the Rfam family "Bacterial small subunit ribosomal RNA", at positions 355 to 774 of the family's 1533-position model. The record is from RNAcentral.